GACGAACGCUGGCGGCGUGCCUAAUACAUGCAAGUCGAACGCUGAAGGAGGAGCUUGCUCUUCUGGAUGAGUUGCGAACGGGUGAGUAACGCGUAGGUAACCUGCCUGGUAGCGGGGGAUAACUAUUGGAAACGAUAGCUAAUACCGCAUAAGAGUAGAUGUUGCAUGACAUUUACUUAAAAGGUUCAAUUGCAUCACUACCAGAUGGACCUGCGUUGUAUUAGCUAGUUGGUGGGGUAACGGCUUACCAAGGCGACGAUACAUAGCCGACCUGAGAGGGUGAUCGGCCACACUGGGACUGAGACACGGCCCAGACUCCUACGGGAGGCAGCAGUAGGGAAUCUUCGGCAAUGGACGGAAGUCUGACCGAGCAACGCCGCGUGAGUGAAGAAGGUUUUCGGAUCGUAAAGCUCUGUUGUAAGAGAAGAACGAGUGUGAGAGUGGAAAGUUCACACUGUGACGGUAUCUUACCAGAAAGGGACGGCUAACUACGUG
RNAcentral lists this ribosomal RNA (495 nucleotides) under uncultured bacterium. RNAcentral's name for it is "partial 16S ribosomal RNA". It matches the Rfam family "Bacterial small subunit ribosomal RNA", at positions 28 to 507 of the family's 1533-position model. The record is from RNAcentral.